UCCCUGGAGGACUAGUGGUUAAGCUUCAGUGCUCUCACCAACGUGGCCUGGGUUUGAUUCCCGCCCAGGGAA
Molecule: non-coding RNA, 72 nt
Organism: Pangasianodon gigas (Mekong giant catfish)
Lineage: Eukaryota; Metazoa; Chordata; Actinopteri; Siluriformes; Pangasiidae
Source: the annotation of a GenBank genome assembly